CACGUAGGAGGCGAGCGUUGUCCGGAAUCAUUGGGCGUAAAGAGCGCGCAGGCGGCUUGGCAAGUCGGGUGUGAAAUCCCGGGGCUCAACCCCGGGACUGCAUUCGAUACUGUCAGGCUAGAGGUAGGUAGGGGAGAUCGGAAUUCCUGGUGUAGCGGUGAAAUGCGCAGAUAUCAGGAGGAACACCCAUGGCGAAGGCAGCUCGCUGGGACGGUACUGACGCUGAGGCGCGAAAGCGUGGGGAGCAAACAGG
This 253-nucleotide ribosomal RNA is filed under the name uncultured bacterium. Its description in RNAcentral is "partial 16S ribosomal RNA". It matches the Rfam family "Bacterial small subunit ribosomal RNA", at positions 524 to 776 of the family's 1533-position model. The record is from RNAcentral.